This 517-nucleotide ribosomal RNA is filed under the name Rhodotorula mucilaginosa. Its description in RNAcentral is "eukaryotic LSU rRNA". It matches the Rfam family "Eukaryotic large subunit ribosomal RNA", at positions 117 to 650 of the family's 3401-position model. The record is from RNAcentral. Lineage: Eukaryota; Fungi; Basidiomycota; Microbotryomycetes; Sporidiobolales; Sporidiobolaceae.
AUAAUCUGGCACCUUCGGUGUCCGAGUUGUAAUCUCUAGAAAUGUUUUCCGCGUUGGACCGCACACAAGUCUGUUGGAAUACAGCGGCAUAGUGGUGAGACCCCCGUAUAUGGUGCGGACGCCCAGCGCUUUGUGAUACAUUUUCGAAGAGUCGAGUUGUUUGGGAAUGCAGCUCAAAUUGGGUGGUAAAUUCCAUCUAAAGCUAAAUAUUGGCGAGAGACCGAUAGCGAACAAGUACCGUGAGGGAAAGAUGAAAAGCACUUUGGAAAGAGAGUUAACAGUACGUGAAAUUGUUGGAAGGGAAACGCUUGAAGUCAGACUUGCUUGCCGAGCAAUCGGUUUGCAGGCCAGCAUCAGUUUUCCGGGAUGGAUAAUGGUAGAGAGAAGGUAGCAGUUUCGGCUGUGUUAUAGCUCUCUGCUGGAUACAUCUUGGGGGACUGAGGAACGCAGUGUGCCUUUGGCGGGGGUUUCGACCUCUUCACACUUAGGAUGCUGGUGGAAUGGCUUUAAACGACCC